GGCGGACAGCAGCAGUUAAUGUGACUGAGAGAAACUUUGCAUCCGGCACCUAUCUCGAACGCAUUAUCGUGUCGACGACGAACAGGAGAACCUGCAUGCACUAGUCCAAGUUCGCCGCCGCCUGAUCCCUUCAAUUGGUCACGUCGUCGUUCACGUCCAGGCCCAGUACAGCUCUGCCGUUGACCGUAGCAAUAAGCAUCGUAGCGUAGGAUCAGGAUCGGAGUAAAGUAACCCGCGUA
Molecule: long non-coding RNA, 239 nt
Filed under: Setaria italica (foxtail millet)
Lineage: Eukaryota; Viridiplantae; Streptophyta; Magnoliopsida; Poales; Poaceae
Description: long non-coding RNA (SITA_LNC000140)
Source: RNAcentral